GAAACGUUGACCAGGUUGGUCUGUGUGUCUGGAGUGUGUGUCAUGCUUAGACCCUGUGGUUUGUGUGAUGUCCCUAGCUUUCGUGGCUGUCCGGGACUCGUAGCUUGGACUGGCACGGGACUCGUAGCAAGACGUAUGGAUGCAGCUCACGGUCAAGCGACGUGAGGGCGUAGCUCGGGGCACUCAAGUCUGUUUCAGAUUGCCAUCAUUGGACUUAGAAUUAAUGUGAACUUCGGUCGAAUUUGCCUCCUGUAAACUUGUCGAUGGGACUCCUUGUGACUGAAAUACUUCAAACCACAGAAUGGAUUGGAAUGAAACAACCACUAACCUGAAACACAUCUUGGCGAGUGAGAUGAACAAAGACAUCGCUCUACCAGAGGGUACAGUUGACAGGAUGGAACUGGGAUGCUCUCAAGAAGGGGACACCACAAUGAAGGUCUGCAACAAGCCUAUGAUUGAUCAAGAGAUUGACUACCUCUUACAGAUUGGAAUCGGUGCAAGAACUAUAUCACGAAUAUUAUCGCAGAAUACUAGGUGGUAUUGCACUUAUAUAGCGACGUGCAUGCACAUGUAUCUGUGUGUGUGGCUGCUUGUACUAGUCCGGACCAAUUAUAGUGCUAGCUCACUGA
Long non-coding RNA from Haliotis rufescens (red abalone), 629 nucleotides. RefSeq lists it as uncharacterized. Lineage: Eukaryota; Metazoa; Mollusca; Gastropoda; Lepetellida; Haliotidae. The transcript has 4 exons. The record is from RefSeq and is a predicted model, not a curated record.